Molecule: ribosomal RNA, 489 nt
Filed under: uncultured bacterium
Lineage: Bacteria
Description: partial 16S ribosomal RNA
Rfam family: Bacterial small subunit ribosomal RNA
Source: RNAcentral
AGUGAACGCUGGCGGCAGGCUUAACACAUGCAAGUCGAACGGCAGCACAGUAAGAGCUUGCUCUUACGGGUGGCGAGUGGCGGACGGGUGAGGAAUACAUCGGAAUCUACUUUUUCGUGGGGGAUAACGUCGGGAAACUUACGCUAAUACCGCAUACGACCUACGGGUGAAAGCAGGGGAUCUUCGGACCUUGCGCGACUGAAUGAGCUGAUGUCGGAUUAGCUCGUUGGCGGGGUAAUGGCCUAGCAAGGCGACGCAGGGUAGCCGGCCUGAGAGGAUGGACGGUCACACUGGGACUGAGACACGGCCCAGACUACUACGGGAGGCAGCAGUGGGGAAUAUUGCACAAUGGGCGUAAGCAUGAUGCAGCGAAGCCGCGUGAGGGAGGGAGGCCUUCGGGUUGUGAACCUCUUUCGCCAGUGAAGCAGGCCUGCCUCGUUUGUGGGUGGGUUGACGGUAGCUGGAGAAGAAGCGCAGGCUAACUAAGUG